UGAGUUGUAGUUUAAUUGGAAAAACACCAUUUUUUGGUAGUGGACCUUAUCAGUUCAAAUCUGGUCAACUCAG
This 73-nucleotide transfer RNA is filed under the name Sanghuangporus alpinus. RNAcentral's name for it is "tRNA-Gln". It matches the Rfam family "tRNA". From Rfam's summary of the family: Transfer RNA (tRNA) molecules are approximately 80 nucleotides in length. Their secondary structure includes four short double-helical elements and three loops (D, anti-codon, and T loops). The record is from RNAcentral. RNAcentral also lists the same sequence under 3 other names. Lineage: Eukaryota; Fungi; Basidiomycota; Agaricomycetes; Hymenochaetales; Hymenochaetaceae.